UACGUAGGGUGCAAGCGUUGUCCGGAAUUAUUGGGCGUAAAGGGCUCGUAGGCGGUUUGUCGCGUCGGGAGUGAAAACCAGGUGCUUAACACCUGGCUUGCUUUCGAUACGGGCAGACUAGAGGUAUUCAGGGGAGAACGGAAUUCCUGGUGUAGCGGUGAAAUGCGCAGAUAUCGGAAGGAACAUCAGUGGCGAAAGCGACUUCCUGGACCAAUACUGACGCUCAUGUGCGAAAGCGUGGGGAGCAAACAGG
RNAcentral lists this ribosomal RNA (253 nucleotides) under uncultured bacterium. RNAcentral's name for it is "partial 16S ribosomal RNA". It matches the Rfam family "Bacterial small subunit ribosomal RNA", at positions 524 to 776 of the family's 1533-position model. The record is from RNAcentral.